GUGGCGAACGGGUGAGUAACACGUGAGCAAUCUGCCCUUGACUCUGGGAUAACUGCGGGAAACUGUAGCUAAUACCGGUUACUUUCCUCGCUGGGCAUCCAGCGGGGAAGAAAGAAUUUCGGUCAAGGAUGAGCUCGCGGCCUAUCAGCUAGUUGGUGAGGUAAAGGCUCACCAAGGCGACGACGGGUAGCCGGCCUGAGAGGGUGACCGGCCACACUGGAACUGAGACACGGUCCAGACUCCUACGGGAGGCAGCAGUGGGGAAUAUUGCACAAUGGGCGAAAGCCUGAUGUAGCAACGCCGCGUGAGGGAUGAAGGCCUUCGGGUUGUAAACCUCUUUUAGCAGGGAAGAAGCGAAAGUGACGGUACCUGCAGAAAAAGCACCGGCUAACUACGUGCCAGCAGCCGCGGUAAUACGUAGGGUGCAAGCGUUGUCCGGAAUUAUUGGGCGUAAAGAGCUCGUAGGCGGUUUGUCACGUCUGCUGUGAAAAUCCGAGGCUCAACCUCGGACUUGCAGUGGGUACGGGCAGGCUAGAGUGCGGUAGGGGAGAAGGGAAUUCCUGGUGUAGCGGUGGAAUGCGCAGAUAUCAGGAGGAACACCAAUGGCGAAGGCACUUCUCUGGGCUGUAACUGACGCUGAGGAGCGAAAGCGUGGGGAGCGAACAGGAUUAGAUACCCUGGUAGUCCAC
This 689-nucleotide ribosomal RNA is filed under the name uncultured Actinomycetales bacterium. RNAcentral's name for it is "bacterial SSU rRNA". It matches the Rfam family "Bacterial small subunit ribosomal RNA", at positions 95 to 798 of the family's 1533-position model. The record is from RNAcentral. Lineage: Bacteria; Bacillati; Actinomycetota; Actinomycetes; Actinomycetales.